GGUCCUGGCCAGCUCAACUGGUAGAGCAUGGCAUUAACAUUGCCAGGGUGAGGGGUUCGAUUCCCUCUGGGACCA
This 75-nucleotide transfer RNA is filed under the name Merluccius polli (Benguela hake). It matches the Rfam family "tRNA". From Rfam's summary of the family: Transfer RNA (tRNA) molecules are approximately 80 nucleotides in length. The record is from Rfam by way of RNAcentral. Lineage: Eukaryota; Metazoa; Chordata; Actinopteri; Gadiformes; Merlucciidae.